This 255-nucleotide small RNA is filed under the name Histoplasma ohiense. RNAcentral's name for it is "hypothetical lncRNA". The record is from RNAcentral. Lineage: Eukaryota; Fungi; Ascomycota; Eurotiomycetes; Onygenales; Ajellomycetaceae.
AAUGUUCGUCGCGGUCCUGUGGCGGUCGGACGAGCUUUCGAGACUGGGCCAAGUUAAGGUACAUGGGUGACGAUAUUAAUGGUUUCACACUGGCACUGGCUGGAUACAAGUUAACCAUCAAUAUUGCACUCACUGAUGCAAAUCUUCGCAGAUCCGCCGUCAAUGCCGAAAUGCUCGAAGGAUACAAAGACCUCGUAAAGAACGCGAAGACUGAUCUCGAGGCUCGUCUUGAAAUCAUCGACGGAAAACUUGAGC